AUGGGCAAUAUGAACGUCCUCCGAACACAAAACUUGAGCUGUGCUACAGAGGAUAAUGACAUGAAGCUUCUUCAGAAGCUAACCUUAUUCCAGGAGAAAGAAGGGGACUCACUGGAUGAUGAGCUUCACAUCUAUGCAGAGGAGGGGAACUCAGACACCACCUCAGAGCUGGAAGCAAUCAGUAUUUCUGAAGAGGGUUCAUUUCAGGAUGCACUGAAAGAUCUGGGUCCAAAGUUUCACCAACUGGCUUCUAUAUACAUGACAGCCAAGCACACCACUUUAUGAUCAUUUCUUUAAGGUUAUACAGUUGGUCUGGUGAAGGAGCCCAAAGUGUGCCCUGGUCAGCAUACAAUUCAUCUAAAGGUCUCUGACAUACAUGGAGCUGUUUGCAACCACAGUGUGACUCCAUGUGGCUGCACUGUGACACUAAACUGUUGAAUUCGCCAGAACUCUGAAAUAAAAGUUGGCCACUAUGCUUAAUGCAUGACAGUUUCUUCACUCUUACUACUUAUAUGUAAGGAACACGGCAUUUGCUUCACCAUAGGAGCAUUGUGAUACACACUACCACUCAAAAAUUUGGACACACCUUCUCACUUAAUGGUUUUUCUUUAUUUAAUGACUAUUUACUUUGUAGAUUCUCACUGAAGGCAUCAAAACUAUGAAUGAACACAUACAGAAUUAUGUAGCAAACAAAAAAGUGUGAAAUAACUCAAAACAUAUUUUAGAUUCUUUGAAAUAACCACCCUCAUCCCAAACCAUCUUGAUUGAGUUUAGGUCAGGUGACAGUGGAGGCCAGGCCAUUUGGCACAACACUCCAUCACUCUCCUUCUUGGUCAAAUAGCCUUUACACAACCUGGAGGUGUGUUUGGGGUCAUUAUCCUAUUGAAAAAAAAAUGAUGAUCCAACUAAACCUAACCGGAUGGGAUGCCAUGUCGCUGCAGGAGCCCAAGGUGGGAACCAUGCAUGUGGAUUCUGAAAUGCACCAUUCUACACAAGGAGAAAAAUACUUUUGUCCAUCCAUCCAUCCAUCCAUCCAUCCAUCUUCUUUCACUUAUCUGGUCCAGGUCACUGGGGCAGCAGUGUUGGUUUCUUUUCUCUAUGUUUUUCUUCAUAUAUCAGAUAACCUGAAAUCUAAUAUCCACUGACAAUGACGGCACCCACGAGGCAGAACACCAGAGAGUUGUUUUUAUUUCUUCUUCUUCUGUAUUUUUUUCCUUUGUAACUUUAAGACCGGAGCUGAAUAAACGUGAUUUUUUUGUGUGCAGUUUGAGGAUUUGGCCAUUAUGAACUAGUUCCACAAAGUCAUUUAAGAUAAGAUAACAGAUAAGAUAACCUUUAUUAGUCCCACACGUGGGGAAUUUAAUUUGUCCUCAUGCUGCCUCAUAAGGUUGGUAGUCUCUUUAGUAUGCCAUGUCUGCUACACUGCAUUACUAUCAUUUCCUCCCAGAGUAGUUAGUUAGAUCAUUGUGCACAAAAUUUACUAUUAGAUUAUUGUAUUACAGGUAUAGUCUUUGCUUAUUAUAGGAAAACUUGUGUAACUUCUGUGAUUCUUGCAAGAAAUCUGCUGUCAUUCACACAAACAAGUCUUAAAACCCAGAUGCACCAUUUUAAUGCAUGCACUGUUAGAACCUGCAUGCACGAGACAGUGCUCAAAGCAAGCGUGUGCAUUUGCUUUCUGCAGUAAGUUGAAAUUUGUUUUGCAUAUUUUUCACACUUAAAUGUGUCAGUCCUGUGUGGAAAAAGUAAUUGCCCCCUAAAUAUAACAGGUUGAGCCACUGUUGGCAGAAACUGCAACUGCAAUCAAACAUUUGUGAUAACUUUCAAUGAGUCUUCUACGUUACUGUGAAGGAAUUUGGCCUCUGCAUUCAGCCACACUACAUGCUUUUUGAACAUGAACAAUGCUAAAGCCUCUAAAUCUGCUUUCAGUCUAGACUUUCACCAGACCACACCAUAACCUUGAUUUUGUUUCGUUCUUUGUGCCAUUAGGAGGUGAACUUGCUGGUGUGUUUUGAAUCAUUGUCCUGCUGCAUAACUGAAGUUAUGUGCACAUGAGCUUCAGAGCAUAAAUUGAUGUCCGUACAUUCUCCUUCAGGAGUUUCAGGUAGAGAGCUGAACUCAUGUAUAAUGUAAGAGUAAAUACCAAUGGUUUUGACCUGUAACUUAUGAUACGUCUGUGAGAUAUCUUGAUGAAUGCUCAAUCAUCCAGGUAGGAAAAUCCCAAAAAGAUGAUUCUGUUCAUCUGGACGUUUCCAGUAGUACAGCACUGUUAAUUUUAUGUGACCUCUUUGUGAUUAAGAGGUUAAUAGUGUGCAAUGUGAUUAGUUUCAAAGUUGGAUCCAACCUCAGCAUGUCAGAGGGCUGUGGCGGCAGACCUUGUGUUAAUACUGUGGACCAAAAAGAAGACACUCGAGGCAGGAAAUGAACAAAAAAACGAGCCGUUUAUUGAGGCUGAGAAAAACAUGCAAAACAAAGGGCAAAAGGGAACUAAGACGAAACUAAGAAUAACCUAAACUGGGAAAACUAAAACUAAACACUAAGAACAUGGAACAUGGAAACCUGGGCUUGGGAAAGAAAACCUGAAACAUGAACUAUUGAUAAGCAUGAUAAGCAGAUGACCUGCCGAUGAACAAAGGCUAAAACACAAAAUAUAUACAAGCGAAGUGGAAACACAUGGGGAACACAGCUGGGAUGAAUAGACAUAAUGACACAGAGGAAGCAAAAAUUACACAGUGAACAUAGGACGAGAGACUGUCAAAAUAAAACAGGAUUCACGCUGAAACACAGACUAAGACAGACAGUUUGAGGCUGGAGGAAAGAAGCAGGCAUGGGGAUGAGACAGACAGAAGAGAUAGAGAGGGUGAGAGACAUGACGGGCUGGCGAGAACACACAUGACAGACAGGGGAGACAUGGAAUGAAGCACAAGGAGAAGAACAUGGGAACAGAAAAACAGAGAUGAAACACAAGGGCAUGACUAGGACCUGAAGAGCGAGGGAUCAAGAGACACUGAGGAGUUCACGGACUCUAACAUGGGACACAGUGAUGAGACAGACAAGAAAACAUGAACCUGAAAUUACAAAUAAACUCUGGGACAUGAAAAUGACUAAAUUCAAUACUAAAUUGUCCCAAACUAAAUGGGUGACCGUGGUUCAGGGGGUUGGGAAGCUCAUCUUCUAACUGGAAGGUUGCCAGUUCGAUCCCCAGCUCUGUCUGUCUUGGUUGUUGUGUCCUUGGGCAAGGACACCUACCAUGGUGAUGACCAGCCUCACUUCUGUCAGUCUGCCCCAGGGCAGCUGUGGCUACAACUGUAGCUUGCCUCUACCAAUGUGAGAAUGAAUGAAUAGUGGAAUUGUAAAGUGCUUUGAGGGUCUGGAAAAGCACUAUAUAAAUGCAAUCUGUUAUUAUCAUUAUAACACAAAGAAUCACAAACAUACAAUAAACUCAAAAUGCUGGGUCAAAUGACCCAGAACUGUGACACGGCAUGGCUGGUUUUUAAAAAAUCGAAGACUGAGAAUGCUCAACUCAGUUUGUUUUCAGAAGGAGUUCAUAAAUCAGUGUGGAGUCUGAAGAGUACAAGUUUCCUCUAAAAGCAGCAAAGACAUUACCAAUCAUUCCUUUCUGCAGCAAACCACUUUCUGCUGUAGAAACAUUUGAGCAUUAAGGUUUGAAAAAGUCAG
This 3675-nucleotide long non-coding RNA is filed under the name Oreochromis niloticus (Nile tilapia). Its description in RNAcentral is "lncRNA (ENSONIG00000029704.1)". The record is from RNAcentral. Lineage: Eukaryota; Metazoa; Chordata; Actinopteri; Cichliformes; Cichlidae.